AUGAACAAUCCUGAGCACGUCUGCCACCGGAUACAUGGAGUACCCAGAAAAUCUAUCUCAGUAAUGGAAAAACACAGUAAAACACAUUCCUAUAGGCAGAAUGAACCACAUUCUAGAAGGAAGCCAGCCUGGACCAAAGCCCGUUGCAAAGAAGAAUCUGAAAAAAUUAAGAAGCACACAAUGCAUGGAAAUUCACUUGAUGCCAGACUGAAUUGGAUACAUUUUUCAAUUCAGAAAAUUAUAACCAAUGACUUCACCCUUUUUGCUAAUUUUUUCCACUCUAAUCUUUAUAGAGACUCUUUGGCCUGGAAAGAUGAAUUGAGUUAAAACGUUGGCAAAGUCCUCUGACAGCACAUAGCACACUAGCACACUCUGAUUUAGACAAAACUGUUUUGGGGAAACUACCAAAGGCUGUAAAAAGUGACCAUUUAUAGACAAAGUAAAGAAAGUAAAAGGAAGCAUAAUAUUCUAGUCAGGGUAGUAUUAAAAUAUGUGUGCGUGUAAAAUUUAAUUCUCUCUGAGCAAUUUUAGUGGGUAAACCCUUAGCGCAUUAAUGGUAAUGGGUAAGUCCAGGCUCUGUUUAUCCUAAAUUCAGACUGCUAAAGAAAAGAAAGAUUAGUAUGGUAAAGGCAUCACUAUUUCUAAUCGGACUGAUGGGAAAAUGUAGUAUUGGGUGUAAGAGGUAAUGUCAAAUGAAUUAUAGUGAAGUGAUGAACUACCUUGAAGCUGAGGCAAUCAAAUAGAUAGCUCUAAAAAUGACUACAGCAUCUUUAUUCAACAGUUUGGAGCAAGUGUCCUCAUCUUGGCCUUCUUUACAAAGAGCAGAAGCACUCUGUAUUUGGUGAAAUUAAAUCUUAAUAAGAGAGCCUCAGCUGAGGCUGCUACCCUUCACUUACCAAAAUUAAACACUCAAUGUUCAUUCUCCCAUCUAAGAGGAGAAGGUGGUAUUUUGAUAUUAUUGUUGAUUCACACAGUUUAAAAUGCAAGGACAGAGUUAGCAAACACUAGAACGAAUUCAGUCACAAAUUUGUGUCUUUGCAUUGCAUACAUUUUUAAAUUAAUAAUUGGAAACAUUUGUUACUCAUUCUUGCCUUACUGUAUAAAUAAUUAAACAAGCAAUUAUUUUGUCUUCAGAAAAAAGAUAAUUAUCUCUAAAUGAUUGUGAUUAAAUAGGAUAAAGUCAAGAUGUUUUCAUAAUUGGCAGAGUAAAACAAAUACUCCCUACUGGAGUAUUUUAAUAAUUUGUUUUUGUCUGAUUACAUAAAAAAUAUCAAAACAUGGAAUACAAAGAAGCAACUCCCAAAAAGAUAUUCACAAUCAUAUCACUCAAAUAAGACCACCGUUAACAUUUUUCCAAUAUAUAAAAGUAUGCAUAUUAAUAUAUAAACAUAUGAAAGUGUGCUUUUACACACAGACAUAUCAAUAUAAGCAUUCAUGUAUGUAUAUAUAUAUUAUUUAAUGAAAUCUGAAUAUACAGAUUGCUUUGCAUUGAGCUUCCUUUUUUAAAAAAUAUAUUUUAGGCAUUUUUUCUUAUUAAUAGGUAAAGACUUAUGUUAACAUUUUUAAUGCCUGCAUUAUAUGUUUAAUCAUUUAUUUAACUUAGCAAAUAUUAAUGAAAGUUCAAGUUGUUUUCAACAUUUCACCUUUACAAAUAGGAUUAAUGUAUCUUUAAAUUAAAAACUGAAGUCACACCCAAAUAUAUAACACUUUAUUUAGACUACUUUACACGGUGGCUCAUAAAUGCCAGAUGAAGGCUCUAAUGGGUAAUAAUACUUUAUACACUUUGGAAACAGCAUUAUCCUUUGGUAUUAGAUAUACAUUUUGCUAUUGGCUUAGAAUAUUUCAUCGUUCCCUUUGUGUAUUCCUUCAAAGGAGUUAAAAGGUGGAUAAUAGUAUCUGCAUUUAAUAUAUUAACCUCCAAGUUGAAGCAUUCAGAGUUGUAAGUGGAGUGGAGGAAAUAUUCACACUAAAUCUAAGGAACUUAAGUUCCUUGAAUCUGUCCUGUGUGCUAUUUCCAAUGGAUGGGUGGUUCUUUGUUUGAGAGGAUAUCAGGGACAUCCUAACCAGCAUGAUUUCUCAUUCCUGCCUCUUGCAUUCGAGUACAGUAAUCUUUGUUUUCUUUACUCAAUACCUCCUUUAAAUUUAGUUGAAAAAUGCAAGAAUGCCUUCUAUUAUUCUCACUUCAACUAUAACUAUGUUUCUAUUCUAAAACAUAUUAGAUACAGUAUUUGUUGAAUGCUAAUUUUAUGAUCUUGAAUUUUAUGAGAUUAUCUCUAUCCUUGUUUAUCCUGUAAACUUUGAUAACCAUAACCAGAGACCCUAGAUUCUAUUUCUUUGGGAGCCCCUAAAGAUGACACAUACUUCAAAUAAUGUGCAUGUCUAGCACACUAUUUUAAAUGAUAUUGUAAAAAUAUAGUAGAAAGAAGCAUUUUAGCUCUUGGAUACCAUUAGUAUUUUUGAUUUUAUUUUAAAUAACUAUUUGUUGUAUUAAUUAAUUUCAAGAUGAAUAUUACAGAUUUUUGUCAGUUUUACUUCUUAAUGUAUUUUUGAACUAUUUUGGAGAAGACAGUGGGAAAAUAAAACCCAUUAUUUUUAGAUGUUAGAAACCA
Oryctolagus cuniculus (rabbit) is the source of this 2609-nucleotide long non-coding RNA. NCBI's taxonomy places the organism in Eukaryota, Metazoa, Chordata, Mammalia, Lagomorpha, Leporidae. The record is from Ensembl.